Molecule: ribosomal RNA, 253 nt
Filed under: uncultured prokaryote
Description: partial 16S ribosomal RNA
Rfam family: Bacterial small subunit ribosomal RNA
Source: RNAcentral
UACGUAGGGUGCGAGCGUUAAUCGGAAUUACUGGGCGUAAAGGGCGCGUAGGCGGCCUGCUAAGUCGAACGUGAAAUCCCCGAGCUCAACUCGGGAACUGCGUCCGAUACUGGCGGGCUUGAAUCCGGGAGAGGGAUGCGGAAUUCCAGGUGUAGCGGUGAAAUGCGUAGAUAUCUGGAGGAACACCGGUGGCGAAGGCGGCAUCCUGGACCGGCAUUGACGCUGAGGCGCGAAAGCUAGGGGAGCAAACGGG